Long non-coding RNA from Ictalurus punctatus (channel catfish), 1225 nucleotides. Lineage: Eukaryota; Metazoa; Chordata; Actinopteri; Siluriformes; Ictaluridae. The record is from Ensembl.
GCUGCUAUAGCGUAAGUGAGCUCAGGAACUAUUGUUUCGGGAACAUUAAAUGCAACCACAAAAGGAUAAAAAGACGGUUUCUGCAGGUUCUUCAGCAGCACCGAUCAUGUCAGUUACGAUUCGUCCAUGAAGACGGCGCUGUUCGCGGCAGCGGGAGUCGGCUUGGCUGGACUGACCUUCCUCCUAGUGCGCUGAGCCACACGUCCCAGUGUCCUCCUCAUUCUCGCCGCCACUUUGUUUUAAACUCGGAGGGAAAAGCUUGAGUUCUCAGACGAACUAUUUCUUACACCUUCAUGCAUCUUAAUUAUGGUUUAGAGAUCAUUAAAAAUCACUCCUGAAAUUCACUCAGAACUGUUCAGAAAUGUGUUUUUGGGUUUUUUCUUCACGUGUCACUCUGGGAUGUUUUUAUUUUUAUAAAAUUUCUCCGGGGUGUGACGUGUUCCUCUCGGUUAGGUUGGAUAGCAUUUAAUAUUUUUUUAACUUGCGUUCAGAAAGUUUGGCGAGCAAAGCAGCUAACGCCCCAUCUUAUUUCUCUGAAAGCGCGUCCAUUCGUUUACAUAUCGUUUCGUGUCUUGUCUUUUUGUUUCCUGGGAGGCGACGUUUACGAGUCCCUCCUGCAGGAGCAGAAAUGUUAUUUCGGAAGGUGCUAGGUUGUUCUGUAAGCCUUUAUCAUGUGAUGUGGUUUUUUUUUUGGUUUUUUUUUUCUUUUUUUUCCCCAAUUUAAAACCAAUUUCACUUGUAAAUUUGUAUUUAUUUUACCAUCUGAAGAACAAAUUGUAACUAUUUAGGCAUUUUCCCGACCUUGACAAAAUUGUAUUUUUGCAUUAUUUUAUUUAUUUAACACUUUCUUAAUAAAAGUCAUUACCAUAAACGGAUUUGUUUUGUGCGCUGCUUUAGGGAUGACUCGUACGCAGGGACUCGGCGGAAACAUUUCGUGACCUUUUUAGUUUCUAACCUGAAUUUUUGUGAAGGGGAAAAUCAGCUGAGUCCAAAACCACAAGCGUUCAAAAUGAAACUGCCUUUUACAUCACUUCCUGAAAUAAACAAUGAAAGUGUCGGGGUUUUUAAGGGGGGGGGGUAUUUAUAAAAUUCACCGGAAAUAUUUGAAGAAAAAUUUUGAUAAAUAUUCCUUCACGUCUUUAUACAGUGUUUUGUUUUCUUAAUUAAAGGGAAUACCUCAUGAGCUUCUUAAAUAAGCUGGACAAGAAAGAUAUCGGUUAAAGGC